Molecule: ribosomal RNA, 468 nt
Filed under: uncultured bacterium
Lineage: Bacteria
Description: partial 16S ribosomal RNA
Rfam family: Bacterial small subunit ribosomal RNA
Source: RNAcentral
GACGAACGCUGGCGGCGUGCUUAACACAUGCAAGUCGUAGGGAAAGCCCUUGUUGUUGUGGCGUGCUCGAGUGGCGAACGGGUGAGUAAGACGUGAGUAACCUGCCCUUGAAUUUGGGAUAGCUUCAGGAAACUGGGGCUAAUACCGGAUGUGAGCUCCUGCUGCAUGGAGGCGGUUGGAAAGUUUCGGUGCAUGGGGACGGACCCGCGGGUUAUCAGCUUGGUGGUGGGGUAGUGGCCUACCAAGGCUUUGGCGGGUAGGCCGCCUGAGAGGGUGAGCGGCGCCAUUGGGACUGUGAGACGGCCCAGACUCCUACGGGAGGCAGAAGUGGGGAAUAUUGUGCAAUGGGCGGAAGACUGAUGCAGAGACGCCGCGUGCGGGAUAACGGGCUUCGGGUUGUAAAAAGCUUUCGCCUGUGACGAAGAGUGAGUGACGGUAAUGGGUAAAGAAGCACCGGCUAACUACGUG